Molecule: ribosomal RNA, 472 nt
Filed under: uncultured organism
Description: partial 16S ribosomal RNA
Rfam family: Bacterial small subunit ribosomal RNA
Source: RNAcentral
ACACUCCUGCGGGAGGCAGCAGUGGGGAAUUUUGGACAAUGGGGGCAACCCUGAUCCAGCAAUGCCGCGUGAGUGAAGAAGGCCUUCGGGUUGUAAAGCUCUUUUGUCAGGGAAGAAACGGUAGUAGCGAAUAACUACUACUAAUGACGGUACCUGAAGAAUAAGCACCGGCUAACUACGUGCCAGCAGCCGCGGUAAUACGUAGGGUGCAAGCGUUAAUCGGAAUUACUGGGCGUAAAGCGUGCGCAGGCGGUUGUGUAAGUCAGAUGUGAAAUCCCCGGGCUCAACCUGGGAAUUGCAUUUGAGACUGCACGGCUAGAGUGUGUCAGAGGGGGGUAGAAUUCCACGUGUAGCAGUGAAAUGCGUAGAUAUGUGGAGGAAUACCGAUGGCGAAGGCAGCCCCCUGGGAUAACACUGACGCUCAUGCACGAAAGCGUGGGGAGCAAACAGGAUUAGAAACCCGUGUAGUCCC